RNAcentral lists this ribosomal RNA (253 nucleotides) under uncultured bacterium. RNAcentral's name for it is "partial 16S ribosomal RNA". It matches the Rfam family "Bacterial small subunit ribosomal RNA", at positions 524 to 776 of the family's 1533-position model. The record is from RNAcentral.
UACGUAGGGGGCAAGCGUUGUCCGGAUUUAUUGGGCGUAAAGAGCGUGUAGGCGGCCAGACAGGUCCGUUGUGAAAACUAGAGGCUUAACCUCUAGACGUCGAUGGAAACCGUCUGGCUAGAGUCCGGAAGAGGAGAAUGGAAUUCCUGGUGUAGCGGUGAAAUGCGCAGAUAUCAGGAAGAACACCCGUGGCGAAAGCGGCUCUCUGGGACGGUACUGACGCUGAGACGCGAAAGCGUGGGGAGCGAACAGG